RNAcentral lists this ribosomal RNA (222 nucleotides) under Vibrio parahaemolyticus. Its description in RNAcentral is "partial 16S ribosomal RNA". It matches the Rfam family "Bacterial small subunit ribosomal RNA", at positions 1 to 220 of the family's 1533-position model. Lineage: Bacteria; Pseudomonadati; Pseudomonadota; Gammaproteobacteria; Vibrionales; Vibrionaceae. The record is from RNAcentral.
AAAUUGAAGAGUUUGAUCAUGGCUCAGAUUGAACGCUGGCGGCAGGCCUAACACAUGCAAGUCGAGCGGAAACGAGUUAUCUGAACCUUCGGGGAACGAUAGCGGCGUCGAGCGGCGGACGGGUGAGUAAUGCCUAGGAAAUUGCCCUGAUGUGGGGGAUAACCAUUGGAAACGAUGGCUAAUACCGCAUGAUGCCUACGGGCCAAAGAGGGGGACCUUCGG